CACGUAGGGCGCAAGCGUUGUCCGGAAUUAUUGGGCGUAAAGAGCUCGUAGGCGGUCUGUCGCGUCUGCUGUGAAAACUCGGGGCUUAACCCCGGGCCUGCAGUGGGUACGGGCAGACUAGAGUGCGGUAGGGGAGACUGGAAUUCCUGGUGUAGCGGUGAAAUGCGCAGAUAUCAGGAGGAACACCGGUGGUGAAGGCGGGUCUCUGGGCCGUAACUGACGCUGAGGAGCGAAAGCGUGGGGAGCGAACAGG
This 253-nucleotide ribosomal RNA is filed under the name uncultured bacterium. Its description in RNAcentral is "partial 16S ribosomal RNA". It matches the Rfam family "Bacterial small subunit ribosomal RNA", at positions 524 to 776 of the family's 1533-position model. The record is from RNAcentral.